RNAcentral lists this long non-coding RNA (238 nucleotides) under Panax ginseng (ginseng). Its description in RNAcentral is "long non-coding RNA (PGIN_LNC012049)". Lineage: Eukaryota; Viridiplantae; Streptophyta; Magnoliopsida; Apiales; Araliaceae. The record is from RNAcentral.
CUUAUUGUAUAAUACACAACUGUGUAUACAUACAGACCUAUUAUUAUUAUUAUUUUGAAACUCCAAGCAUGAUGAUGUGACAAACACAAUCAUUUAGUGCACCCCACUUUUGUAAUUAUUGACAUGAUUGGGGUCAAUAUUUUUGUUGACAACAUUAAUAUAAUUUGGUAUUUAAAAAAGAUGAGUAACUUAUAAAUUUCAUAUAUAUUAAGAAAAAAAAUAAAUUUUUAAUUUUUUU